RNAcentral lists this ribosomal RNA (372 nucleotides) under uncultured bacterium. RNAcentral's name for it is "bacterial SSU rRNA". It matches the Rfam family "Bacterial small subunit ribosomal RNA", at positions 523 to 898 of the family's 1533-position model. The record is from RNAcentral.
AUACGUUGGGGGCAAGCGUUGUCCGGAUUUAUUGGGCGUAAAGGGUUCGCAGGCGGCCUUUUAAGUCAGAUGUGAAAGACUACAGCUCAACUGUGGUAAGCAUUUGAAACUGAAAGGCUUGAGUUAAGGAGAGGAAAGUGGAAUUCCUAGUGUAGCGGUGAAAUGCGUAGAUAUUAGGAGGAAUACCAGUGGCGAAGGCGACUUUCUGGACUUAUACUGACGCUGAGGAACGAAAGCGUGGGGAGCAAACAGGAUUAGAUACCCUGGUAGUCCACGCCGUAAACGAUGAGUGCUAGGUGUUGGGGGUCAAACCUCGGUGCCGCAGCUAACGCGUUAAGCACUCCGCCUGGGGAGUACGUACGCAAGUAUGAA